Molecule: ribosomal RNA, 607 nt
Filed under: Trichoderma virens
Lineage: Eukaryota; Fungi; Ascomycota; Sordariomycetes; Hypocreales; Hypocreaceae
Description: eukaryotic LSU rRNA
Rfam family: 5.8S ribosomal RNA (bases 226-379)
Source: RNAcentral
UUGGUGACCAGCGGAGGGAUCAUUACCGAGUUUACAACUCCCAAACCCAAUGUGAACGUUACCAAACUGUUGCCUCGGCGGGAUCUCUGCCCCGGGUGCGUCGCAGCCCCGGACCAAGGCGCCCGCCGGAGGACCAACCAAAACUCUUAUUGUAUACCCCCUCGCGGGUUUUUUACUAUCUGAGCCAUCUCGGCGCCCCUCGUGGGCGUUUCGAAAAUGAAUCAAAACUUUCAACAACGGAUCUCUUGGUUCUGGCAUCGAUGAAGAACGCAGCGAAAUGCGAUAAGUAAUGUGAAUUGCAGAAUUCAGUGAAUCAUCGAAUCUUUGAACGCACAUUGCGCCCGCCAGUAUUCUGGCGGGCAUGCCUGUCCGAGCGUCAUUUCAACCCUCGAACCCCUCCGGGGGGUCGGCGUUGGGGAUCGGCCCUUUACGGGGCCGGCCCCGAAAUACAGUGGCGGUCUCGCCGCAGCCUCUCCUGCGCAGUAGUUUGCACACUCGCAUCGGGAGCGCGGCGCGUCCACAGCCGUUAAACACCCCAAACUUCUGAAAUGUUGACCUCGGAUCAGGUAGGAAUACCCGCUGAACUUAAGCAUAUCAAUAAGGCGGA